UCGAGAAUCAUUCACAAUGGGGGAAACCCUGAUGCAGCGACGCCGCGUGAGGGAAGACGGUCCUCUGGAUUGUAAACCUCUGUCGGUAGGGACGAUAAUGACGGUACCUACCGAGGAAGCUCCGGCUAACUUCGUGCCAGCAGCCGCGGUAAUACGAAGGGGGCAAGCGUUGUUCGGAAUUACUGGGCGUAAAGUGCACGCAGGCGGCGUGACGCGUCAGAAGUGAAAUCCCCGGGCUCAACCUGGGAACUGCUUUUGAAACGGUCAUGCUUGAAUCAUGGAGAGGGUAGCGGAAUUCCGAGUGUAGAGGUGAAAUUCGUAGAUAUUCGGAAGAACACCGGUGGCGAAGGCGGCUACCUGGCCAUGUAUUGACGCUCAGGUGCGAAAGCGUGGGGAGCAAACA
This 403-nucleotide ribosomal RNA is filed under the name uncultured bacterium. RNAcentral describes it as "bacterial SSU rRNA". It matches the Rfam family "Bacterial small subunit ribosomal RNA", at positions 355 to 774 of the family's 1533-position model. The record is from RNAcentral.